GACGAACGCUGGCGGCGUGCUUAACACAUGCAAGUCGAACGGAAAGGCCCUGCUUUUGUGGGGUGCUCGAAUGGCGAACGGGUGAGUAACACGUGAGUAACCUGCCCUUGACUUUGGGAUAACUUCAGGUAACUGGGGCUAAUACCGGAUAGGAGCUCCUGCUGCAUGGUGGGGGAUGGAAAGUUUCGGCGGUGGGGGAUGGACUCUCGGCUUAUCAGCUUGUUGGUGGGGUAGUGUCUUACCAAGGCUUUGAUGGGUAGCCGGCCUGAGAGGGUGUCCUGCCACAUUGGGCCUGUGAUACGGCCCAGACUGCUACGGGAGGCAGAAGUGGGGAAUAUUGCACAAUGGGCCGAAGCCUGUUGCAGCAUCGCCGCGUGCGGGAUCACGGCCGUCGGGUUGUAAACCGAUUUUGCCUUUGACGAAGGGUGAGUGACGGUAAUGGGUCAAGAAGCACCGGCUAACUACGUG
RNAcentral lists this ribosomal RNA (468 nucleotides) under uncultured bacterium. RNAcentral describes it as "partial 16S ribosomal RNA". It matches the Rfam family "Bacterial small subunit ribosomal RNA", at positions 28 to 507 of the family's 1533-position model. The record is from RNAcentral.